RNAcentral lists this ribosomal RNA (3603 nucleotides) under Drosophila melanogaster (fruit fly). Its description in RNAcentral is "eukaryotic LSU rRNA". The stretch from base 576 to 3603 matches the Rfam family "Eukaryotic large subunit ribosomal RNA", at positions 1 to 2584 of the family's 3401-position model. The record is from RNAcentral. Lineage: Eukaryota; Metazoa; Arthropoda; Insecta; Diptera; Drosophilidae.
AAAACUCUAAGCGGUGGAUCACUCGGCUCAUGGGUCGAUGAAGAACGCAGCAAACUGUGCGUCAUCGUGUGAACUGCAGGACACAUGAACAUCGACAUUUUGAACGCAUAUCGCAGUCCAUGCUGUUAUGUACUUUAAUUAAUUUUAUAGUGCUGCUUGGACUACAUAUGGUUGAGGGUUGUAAGACUAUGCUAAUUAAGUUGCUUAUAAAUUUUUAUAAGCAUAUGGUAUAUUAUUGGAUAAAUAUAAUAAUUUUUAUUCAUAAUAUUAAAAAAUAAAUGAAAAACAUUAUCUCACAUUUGAAUGUGAAAAACGAAGAGAAAUAUUUUCUUUUUCAAUCAAAUAAUACUGAGAAAUGUCUAGCAUAAAAAAUUGAAAUAUUUUUCAUCUAGAAUUGUCUCUUAUUAAUGAUUCGGAAAUAGAAAAAUCUUGGUUAUGUUAUUAUUCUUCGUUGGUUCGUUAAAAAUGGAUAAAUAAAAACUUUGCAUACAAGAAUUAAUAAAAAUGUUAUAACGAAUUUAAUUAAAUGUUUUAUCAUUAUAUAUAAAGAAUUUAUGGCAAGAUAAAGUUAUAUACAACCUCAACUCAUAUGGGACUACCCCCUGAAUUUAAGCAUAUUAAUUAGGGGAGGAAAAGAAACUAACAAGGAUUUUCUUAGUAGCGGCGAGCGAAAAGAAAACAGUUCAGCACUAAGUCACUUUGUCUAUAUGGCAAAUGUGAGAUGCAGUGUAUGGAGCGUCAAUAUUCUAGUAUGAGAAAUUAACGAUUUAAGUCCUUCUUAAAUGAGGCCAUUUACCCAUAGAGGGUGCCAGGCCCGUAUAACGUUAAUGAUUACUAGAUGAUGUUUCCAAAGAGUCGUGUUGCUUGAUAGUGCAGCACUAAGUGGGUGGUAAACUCCAUCUAAAACUAAAUAUAACCAUGAGACCGAUAGUAAACAAGUACCGUGAGGGAAAGUUGAAAAGAACUCUGAAUAGAGAGUUAAACAGUACGUGAAACUGCUUAGAGGUUAAGCCCGAUGAACCUGAAUAUCCGUUAUGGAAAAUUCAUCAUUAAAAUUGUAAUAUUUAAAUAAUAUUAUGAGAAUAGUGUGCAUUUUUUCCAUAUAAGGACAUUGUAAUCUAUUAGCAUAUACCAAAUUUAUCAUAAAAUAUAACUUAUAGUUUAUUCCAAUUAAAUUGCUUGCAUUUUAACACAGAAUAAAUGUUAUUAAUUUGAUAAAGUGCUGAUAGAUUUAUAUGAUUACAGUGCGUUAAUUUUUCGGAAUUAUAUAAUGGCAUAAUUAUCAUUGAUUUUUGUGUUUAUUAUAUGCACUUGUAUGAUUAACAAUGCGAAAGAUUCAGGAUACCUUCGGGACCCGUCUUGAAACACGGACCAAGGAGUCUAACAUAUGUGCAAGUUAUUGGGAUAUAAACCUAAUAGCGUAAUUAACUUGACUAAUAAUGGGAUUAGUUUUUUAGCUAUUUAUAGCUAAUUAACACAAUCCCGGGGCGUUCUAUAUAGUUAUGUAUAAUGUAUAUUUAUAUUAUUUAUGCCUCUAACUGGAACGUACCUUGAGCAUAUAUGCUGUGACCCGAAAGAUGGUGAACUAUACUUGAUCAGGUUGAAGUCAGGGGAAACCCUGAUGGAAGACCGAAACAGUUCUGACGUGCAAAUCGAUUGUCAGAAUUGAGUAUAGGGGCGAAAGACCAAUCGAACCAUCUAGUAGCUGGUUCCUUCCGAAGUUUCCCUCAGGAUAGCUGGUGCAUUUUAAUAUUAUAUAAAAUAAUCUUAUCUGGUAAAGCGAAUGAUUAGAGGCCUUAGGGUCGAAACGAUCUUAACCUAUUCUCAAACUUUAAAUGGGUAAGAACCUUAACUUUCUUGAUAUGAAGUUCAAGGUUAUGAUAUAAUGUGCCCAGUGGGCCACUUUUGGUAAGCAGAACUGGCGCUGUGGGAUGAACCAAACGUAAUGUUACGGUGCCCAAAUUAACAACUCAUGCAGAUACCAUGAAAGGCGUUGGUUGCUUAAAACAGCAGGACGGUGAUCAUGGAAGUCGAAAUCCGCUAAGGAGUGUGUAACAACUCACCUGCCGAAGCAACUAGCCCUUAAAAUGGAUGGCGCUUAAGUUGUAUACCUAUACAUUACCGCUAAAGUAGAUGAUUUAUAUUACUUGUGAUAUAAAUUUUGAAACUUUAGUGAGUAGGAAGGUACAAUGGUAUGCGUAGAAGUGUUUGGCGUAAGCCUGCAUGGAGCUGCCAUUGGUACAGAUCUUGGUGGUAGUAGCAAAUAAUCGAAUGAGACCUUGGAGGACUGAAGUGGAGAAGGGUUUCGUGUGAACAGUGGUUGAUCACGAGUUAGUCGGUCCUAAGUUCAAGGCGAAAGCCGAAAAUUUUCAAGUAAAACAAAAAUGCCUAACUAUAUAAACAAAGCGAAUUAUAAUACACUUGAAUAAUUUUGAACGAAAGGGAAUACGGUUCCAAUUCCGUAACCUGUUGAGUAUCCGUUUGUUAUUAAAUAUGGGCCUCGUGCUCAUCCUGGCAACAGGAACGACCAUAAAGAAGCCGUCGAGAGAUAUCGGAAGAGUUUUCUUUUCUGUUUUAUAGCCGUACUACCAUGGAAGUCUUUCGCAGAGAGAUAUGGUAGAUGGGCUAGAAGAGCAUGACAUAUACUGUUGUGUCGAUAUUUUCUCCUCGGACCUUGAAAAUUUAUGGUGGGGACACGCAAACUUCUCAACAGGCCGUACCAAUAUCCGCAGCUGGUCUCCAAGGUGAAGAGUCUCUAGUCGAUAGAAUAAUGUAGGUAAGGGAAGUCGGCAAAUUAGAUCCGUAACUUCGGGAUAAGGAUUGGCUCUGAAGAUUGAGAUAGUCGGGCUUGAUUGGGAAACAAUAACAUGGUUUAUGUGCUCGUUCUGGGUAAAUAGAGUUUCUAGCAUUUAUGUUAGUUACUUGUUCCCCGGAUAGUUUAGUUACGUAGCCAAUUGUGGAACUUUCUUGCUAAAAUUUUUAAGAAUACUAUUUGGGUUAAACCAAUUAGUUCUUAUUAAUUAUAACGAUUAUCAAUUAACAAUCAAUUCAGAACUGGCACGGACUUGGGGAAUCCGACUGUCUAAUUAAAACAAAGCAUUGUGAUGGCCCUAGCGGGUGUUGACACAAUGUGAUUUCUGCCCAGUGCUCUGAAUGUCAAAGUGAAGAAAUUCAAGUAAGCGCGGGUCAACGGCGGGAGUAACUAUGACUCUCUUAAGGUAGCCAAAUGCCUCGUCAUCUAAUUAGUGACGCGCAUGAAUGGAUUAACGAGAUUCCUACUGUCCCUAUCUACUAUCUAGCGAAACCACAGCCAAGGGAACGGGCUUGGAAUAAUUAGCGGGGAAAGAAGACCCUUUUGAGCUUGACUCUAAUCUGGCAGUGUAAGGAGACAUAAGAGGUGUAGAAUAAGUGGGAGAUAUUAGACCUCGGUUUGGUAUCGUCAAUGAAAUACCACUACUCUUAUUGUUUCCUUACUUACUUGAUUAAAUGGAACGUGUAUCAUUUCCUAGCCAUUAUACGGAUAUAUUUAUUAUAUCUUAUGGUAUUGGGUUUUGAUGCAAGCUUCUUGAUCAAAGUAUCACGAGUUUGUUAUAUAAUCGCAAA